AUGGAAACCAAGAGUAUUGCAGUUGUACUCUUCCUCCUCGCUGCCCUUCUUUGCCACGUGCGCACAGGUGGUGCCCAGCGAUCUUGCGACAAAUCCGACAUAACUGUCGCUGCGGACUGGACGGGGUUCUACGCCUUCGUCGGGACAGUCCAGAGGCAGCCGCUCUACGAAUUGGAGGUCGGGACGUCGUGCUCGUGCCCGAUGAAAGACGUGCGCAUCUCGUGCGGCGGCCUCGAGAACAGCAUGGAGCCGCUAGACGCGAGCGAGGUGGAGCUGCACGAUGGGAUGUGUGUCCUCAAGCAGCCCGUCGUCAGGGGCUCGCCGGUCAUCUUCACAUACUCCUCGGAUGUGCCGGUGAACUUCCGCGUGAUUAAUGCUACCCCUUAUUGCUAA
This 393-nucleotide ribosomal RNA is filed under the name Triticum aestivum (bread wheat). RNAcentral describes it as "partial small subunit ribosomal RNA". The record is from RNAcentral. Lineage: Eukaryota; Viridiplantae; Streptophyta; Magnoliopsida; Poales; Poaceae.